GAAAUAUCUUUUAAGCUUCUAACUUAAUCCAAAGCCUAGUGUUUAUAUUUCU
RNAcentral lists this transfer RNA (52 nucleotides) under Tenebrionoidea sp. 24 KM-2017. RNAcentral's name for it is "tRNA-Ser". The record is from RNAcentral. Lineage: Eukaryota; Metazoa; Arthropoda; Insecta; Coleoptera.